CACUGCAUGGUGUGUUGGGAAAGCCUUUGCGGCAUGGGAUGGGGUCGCGUCCUAUCAGCUUGAUGGCGGGGUAACGGCCCACCAUGGCUUCGACGGGUAGCCGGCCUGAGAGGGCGACCGGCCACAUUGGGACUGAGAUACGGCCCAGACUCCUACGGGAGGCAGCAGUGGGGAAUAUUGCACAAUGGGCGCAAGCCUGAUGCAGCGACGCCGCGUGAGGGAUGGAGGCCUUCGGGUUGUAAACCUCUUUUGUUAGGGAGCAAGGCAUUUUGUGUUGAGUGUACCUUUCGAAUAAGCACCGGCUAACUACGUGCCAGCAGCCGCGGUAAUACGUAGGGUGCAAGCGUUAUCCGGAAUUAUUGGGCGUAAAGGGCUCGUAGGCGGUUCGUCGCGUCCGGUGUGAAAGUCCAUCGCUUAACGGUGGAUCCGCGCCGGGUACGGGCGGGCUUGAGUGCGGUAGGGGAGACUGGAAUUCCCGGUGUAACGGUGGAAUGUGUAGAUAUCGGGAAAGAACACCA
RNAcentral lists this ribosomal RNA (518 nucleotides) under Bifidobacterium breve. Its description in RNAcentral is "bacterial SSU rRNA". It matches the Rfam family "Bacterial small subunit ribosomal RNA", at positions 184 to 711 of the family's 1533-position model. Lineage: Bacteria; Bacillati; Actinomycetota; Actinomycetes; Bifidobacteriales; Bifidobacteriaceae. The record is from RNAcentral.